RNAcentral lists this ribosomal RNA (403 nucleotides) under uncultured bacterium. RNAcentral's name for it is "bacterial SSU rRNA". It matches the Rfam family "Bacterial small subunit ribosomal RNA", at positions 355 to 774 of the family's 1533-position model. The record is from RNAcentral.
UGGGGAAUAUUGGACAAUGGGCGCAAGCCUGAUCCAGCCAUGCCGCGUGAGUGAUGAAGGCCUUAGGGUUGUAAAGCUCUUUUACCAGGGAAGAUAAUGACGGUACCUGGAGAAUAAGCCCCGGCUAACUUCGUGCCAGCAGCCGCGGUAAUACGAAGGGGGCUAGCGUUGCUCGGAAUCACUGGGCGUAAAGCGCACGUAGGUGGGUCGUUAAGUCAGGGGUGAAAUCCCGGAGCUCAACUCCGGAACUGCCUUUGAUACUGGCGAUCUUGGAGUCCGGGAGAGGUAAGUGGAACUGCGAGUGUAGAGGUGAAAUUCGUAGAUAUUCGCAAGAACACCAGUGGCGAAGGCGGCUCACUGGCCCGGUACUGACACUGAGGUGCGAAAGCGUGGGGAGCAAACA